CGGCCAUGUUUUAUUACAUUUUUGCAACUUCGCAAAAUUACAAAGUUAGCCGCACACGGGCCAAAUAUUGCAAAUUGUUGCGAUAACUUGCGUAUCGUUUGAUCGGUCCCAUCGCAAUUCAGGGCAAGUUAGAGGCUGUUUAUAUGAGAGGCAGGACGGGACGUUUGCCGGGACGAUUUAUAUGUACAUCCCGGGUUUAGGAGCUGUUUACAUAAUAUAUUCCGCUUUGCCCGGUCGAGAUAUGAGGCGGGAUGAUUUUGAGGUUUUGCAAUAAGGUAGACGAUAUUACGCUUCCUGUUGAUGAACAUUUCUUUUAGGAACAUAUUGUGUUAUUGAGGUUCUUAGUUGCAUUAAUUUUACCACACUAUAAGCUGAAACUGAUGAUCUGUUUGUAUUUAGGAAUUAAAGUUCGAUCCUGUGCUCGUCAAUUCAAUAUGAUUUAAUAUCGUUUUGGAGAGAGGUUUUGGCGCUGGUAUAAGUGUUAAAUAAUUAAUUAGCCAUCGUGAUUAAUAUGUGGCCAACGCCUUCGUAAAUAACAUGCGGCUAAAGCUUGUAAAAUGUGCUUACACAACAAUUCCUAUACCGAUUAUACCCGCAAAUAUAUUCUCAUUAUUCAUGCGGCCUAUACUGAAAGUAUGUAGAUAUUUAUUUCUGAAUUACAUGUAUAUAUUGGUCAUUCAUUCCUGGUUUCAUUCCUGGUUUCAUUCCUGGUUUCAUUCGGUUUCAUUCAUGGGCGUACGGACCUAAUCUUGUUUGGAGGGGAGGCACAGUAAUAGUUGGCCCGAACGCUUUGCUUACAUAGUACACAUAUACAAUUUGUUCGAGAGGGUGGGGGGGGGGGGUAUUUUUUGAAAAGGGAUAGCCGUGUGGCCGACAUACCACGCAUGAACCCUAUGGGGGUCUGCGGGCAUACUCUCCCAGAAAAGUUUUGAAAUUUGAUGCCCGGAAAUGCAAUUUCCUGCAUUCUGAGCAUCCAAAUUUGCUCUAAAAUUUAUGCUAACUAUACUUGUAUUUGAAAUAAGAAAAGGAAAAAAAAACGCAAAAAAAAGAUUUAACAAUAAUUUAUCAUCACUUAUUAGACGGGGAUAGAUGGCCGAAGUCCACUUGUGUGGGGGCAUACUGCCCCGUGUUUUUAGGGAUUUCAGCUUUUAGUAUUCCGUGUUUUCGAGAUUUCGGUUUUUGUGUUACAGGUUUUAAUGAUUAUGGCUUUUAGUAUUCCGUGUUUUAGAAAUUUCGGCUUUUAGUGUACCUCCAUUCCCGGCCGGUCCACGAAUGAUGUCCCCAAAUUCCUUGUUACACUGACUUGGAACGUCAAGUGUCUUAAAUCGGCACAUGAUGCUUUGGACGACUUCAUAGGUCUAGGGUCUAUCAAAAUUUCCUUCAUUUUGUUGAUUGCCUCAGUUUUAUCAAUAUUCAGACCUUUGAACUGCAAAGGACCAAAUUGGGCAGCAGAAAAAUUCGAAAUGAAUAAUCCUAACACUGAUGCAACUUGGAGAAUACUGGGUGAUGGACUGUGUAGGAGCUCUAGUCUAAGCAUAAUGUCUUUAUUUUUUUUAUCUUUUCUGCAGUUGGUAAGACCUUCAUUACAAUUGAGUUCAUCUUAAAACCAAGGAUGGUUGUUACUUGUUUUGCUAUAAAUUAUGAUUUAUCAAUUAAGAUGUAUAGUGAACUCCAGAGCAUAAAGCAGCCUAGUUGUACCUAAAACAUUGUUGGCACAGUAAUCAUAAUCUUCACCUUGUAAAUAAGAGUCAUCUAUAUGGCUGACCGAUAUAUGUCGCAGCCGCCGUAAGUGGGAAUUAACUUCCUUUAACAGCUUUGGAAAUUUCCUAAGACAAGUUUCCAGG
Non-coding RNA from Paramuricea clavata, 1844 nucleotides. The record is from the annotation of a GenBank genome assembly. Lineage: Eukaryota; Metazoa; Cnidaria; Anthozoa; Malacalcyonacea; Plexauridae.